GGAAGUUCCAGAGAGGGACGGCAGGCAGGUCCCAACCCUUUCAGGAUAUUUGACUCCUCCUCUUUUCAGUGGAAGAAAUCACUUGCUACAGAGAGCAGAAUAGAAAGGGGGCAGGCAAGCUUCCAAAUGUGUGAACAGGAAAAACAGGUGCUUUUUUAGAGUUAAUUGAGAGCCCAGCCUGAAACACAUCAGGGCAGAGGUAGAGGAGAAAUUCUCUUCUAUUGGUGCCUCAUGAAAGAUGUUGAGACUAGUGGAGAGAUGACUUUGAGGGAAGGAAAG
Molecule: long non-coding RNA, 279 nt
Organism: Lutra lutra (Eurasian river otter)
Lineage: Eukaryota; Metazoa; Chordata; Mammalia; Carnivora; Mustelidae
Exons: 3
Source: RefSeq, a predicted model, not a curated record